This 495-nucleotide ribosomal RNA is filed under the name uncultured bacterium. Its description in RNAcentral is "partial 16S ribosomal RNA". It matches the Rfam family "Bacterial small subunit ribosomal RNA", at positions 28 to 507 of the family's 1533-position model. The record is from RNAcentral.
GACGAACGCUGGCGGCGUGCCUAAUACAUGCAAGUAGAACGCUGAAGGAGGAGCUUGCUUCUCUGGAUGAGUUGCGAACGGGUGAGUAACGCGUAGGUAACCUGCCUGGUAGCGGGGGAUAACUAUUGGAAACGAUAGCUAAUACCGCAUAAGAGUAGAUGUUGCAUGACAUUUGCUUAAAAGGUGCAAUUGCAUCACUACCAGAUGGACCUGCGUUGUAUUAGCUAGUUGGUGGGGUAACGGCUCACCAAGGCGACGAUACAUAGCCGACCUGAGAGGGUGAUCGGCCAAACUGGGACUGAGACACGGCCCAGACUCCUACGGGAGGCAGCAGUAGGGAAUCUUCGGCAAUGGACGGAAGUCUGACCGAGCAACGCCGCGUGAGUGAAGAAGGUUUUCGGAUCGUAAAGCUCUGUUGUAAGAGAAGAACGAGCGUGAGAGUGGAAAGUUCACACUGUGACGGUAUCUUACCAGAAAGGGACGGCUAACUACGUG